UAUAACUGUUAAUAUAACCUUGUAUUUUAUUUUAUCAUAUUUUAUUUUUAACUUCUUGCGUUUAAUUUUUGUCUUUCUGAAACCAAAAUGAAUUCAUGAAUCUAUUAACAUUCUAAGGGAGUAUUCUGCAGCAGAGCCUAAAUUGAAUAAGCAGGAAAAUGUGAAACUUUGUAUUGCUGAGGGACGGAAGAACUCUAUCAUUAGCUAUUUUUGGUAAGGUUAUUGAAAAUGCAGUCCAGAUUUUCAGUUUCAUCUUUUGUCUGUUUGGUUUGGUUUGUCACUUACUACCCUGUCUAUGGUUUCUUAAUCUACAUACAUCUUUCUUUGACAGGGAUAAUUCAGAUUCGGAUGAAGCAGGAAUUCCUAAGAACGUUUGCUGAAUACAGAGAAGAUUAAAUGUGUUCAAGACAGAUUUUUCCUCAACUUCAUGUCAUUCUUAUCUCAAAGAAAAUAUGUCUCCUGCCCGAAAUUAAUCCCAUCAAAACCAUGUAUGGAUAGUAUCUGUGAACAAGGGUGUAAGCCAAGAAGUCUCUGGUCUCUUGAAGCAGUUGGACAAGUUCCAUCCUCCUCUAAAGGUGAAGUCAGUAAAUAUGAAGGAUAAACAACCUACAUUUGCUGGAGGUAAAUGGUUUGGCUGGGACUGUGCUGUCAUGCUAUUUAUUUCUCACAAUAAUUAUAUGAAGUAGUAUUGUUAUUUUCAUUUUACAGAUGAGAAAGUUAAUACUCAGAAGAUUUGGCAAUUUGACAAAGUCAGAUAGCUGAUAAAUUCCUAAGCUAGACAUGAAACACCAAAACCUUUGUUCCUACCAUAAUACCAAUAUUUUUUAUUUAAUACGGUAGCACACAUUUCCACAAGAAAAGCUUCCUUUCCAGCUCUCUGUUAUAAUCCGUUUUUUCUUGACAUUAUUUUCAAAUUCGAUUGGCUGGUUUCCAGGUCUCUAGGGAGGAAAUUGAAAAUAGAGAAUGUUGAAUAGAUACUGAUGGCAGCAAGAAACUACUUGUCUAUAGACCCCAGAGUGAGAGAGGAGAUAAAAGAAUAAUUAAAAAGCAAAUUAAAUGUACUAAUUCUAAUAAAAAUUAUAAUACAUAGCUCUAUAAUCUCUGA
RNAcentral lists this long non-coding RNA (1105 nucleotides) under Castor canadensis (American beaver). RNAcentral describes it as "lncRNA (ENSCCNG00000017069.1)". Lineage: Eukaryota; Metazoa; Chordata; Mammalia; Rodentia; Castoridae. The record is from RNAcentral.